AGUGAACGCUGGCGGCAGGCCUAAUACAUGCAAGUCGAACGGCAGCACAGCAGAGCUUGCUCUGUGGGUGGCGAGUGGCGGACGGGUGAGGAAUACAUGGGAAUCUGCCCAGUCGUGGGGGAUAACGUAUGGAAACGUACGCUAAUACCGCAUGCGCCCUAAGGGGGAAAGCCGGGGACCGCAAGGCCUGGCGCGAUUGGAUGAGCCCAUGUUCGAUUAGCUAGUUGGCGGGGUAAAGGCCCACCAAGGCGACGAUCGAUAGCUGGUCUGAGAGGAUGAUCAGCCACACUGGAACUGAGACACGGUCCAGACUCCUACGGGAGGCAGCAGUGGGGAAUUUUGGACAAUGGGCGGAAGCCUGAUCCAGCCAUGCCGCGUGAGUGAAGAA
RNAcentral lists this ribosomal RNA (388 nucleotides) under uncultured bacterium. Its description in RNAcentral is "bacterial SSU rRNA". It matches the Rfam family "Bacterial small subunit ribosomal RNA", at positions 30 to 412 of the family's 1533-position model. The record is from RNAcentral.